This 402-nucleotide ribosomal RNA is filed under the name Escherichia coli. RNAcentral describes it as "partial 23S ribosomal RNA". It matches the Rfam family "Bacterial large subunit ribosomal RNA", at positions 2259 to 2660 of the family's 2925-position model. Lineage: Bacteria; Pseudomonadati; Pseudomonadota; Gammaproteobacteria; Enterobacterales; Enterobacteriaceae. RNAcentral also lists the same sequence under 1 other name. The record is from RNAcentral.
UGGUGGGUAGUUUGACUGGGGCGGUCUCCUCCUAAAGAGUAACGGAGGAGCACGAAGGUUGGCUAAUCCUGGUCGGACAUCAGGAGGUUAGUGCAAUGGCAUAAGCCAGCUUGACUGCGAGCGUGACGGCGCGAGCAGGUGCGAAAGCAGGUCAUAGUGAUCCGGUGGUUCUGAAUGGAAGGGCCAUCGCUCAACGGAUAAAAGGUACUCCGGGGAUAACAGGCUGAUACCGCCCAAGAGUUCAUAUCGACGGCGGUGUUUGGCACCUCGAUGUCGGCUCAUCACAUCCUGGGGCUGAAGUAGGUCCCAAGGGUAUGGCUGUUCGCCAUUUAAAGUGGUACGCGAGCUGGGUUUAGAACGUCGUGAGACAGUUCGGUCCCUAUCUGCCGUGGGCGCUGGAGA